CCUACGGGGGGCAGCAGUGAGGAAUAUUGGUCAAUGGGCGCGAGCCUGAACCAGCCAAGUAGAGUGAAGGAUGACUGCCCUACGGGUUGUAAACUUCUUUUAUAAAGGAAUAAAGUGAGGCACGUGUGCCUUUUUGUAUGUACUUUAUGAAUAAGGAUCGGCUAACUCCGUGCCAGCAGCCGCGGUAAUACGGAGGAUCCGAGCGUUAUCCGGAUUUAUUGGGUUUAAAGGGUGCGUAGGUGGGUUUUUAAGUCAGCGGUGAAAGUUUGUGGCUCAACCGUAAAAUUGCAGUUGAUACUGGGAGUCUUGAGUACAGUUGAGGCAGGCGGAAUGCGUGGUGUAGCAGUGAAAUGCUUAGAUAUCACGCAGAACCCCGAUUGCGAAGGCAGCCUGCCAAGCCAUGACUGACGCUGAUGCACGAAAGCGUGGGGAUCAAACAGGAUUAGAUACCCGUGUAGUC
RNAcentral lists this ribosomal RNA (460 nucleotides) under uncultured bacterium. RNAcentral's name for it is "partial 16S ribosomal RNA". It matches the Rfam family "Bacterial small subunit ribosomal RNA", at positions 338 to 795 of the family's 1533-position model. The record is from RNAcentral.